Molecule: ribosomal RNA, 253 nt
Filed under: uncultured bacterium
Lineage: Bacteria
Description: partial 16S ribosomal RNA
Rfam family: Bacterial small subunit ribosomal RNA
Source: RNAcentral
UACGUAGGAUCCAAGCGUUGUCCGGAAUUACUGGGUGUAAAGGGUGCGCAGGCGGACUUGUGCGUCAGAGGUUAAAUACCCCGGCUCAACCGGGGAAAUGCCUUUGAAACGGCAGGUCUUGAGUGCGAGAGAGGAUGGUAGAAUUCCUGGUGUAGCGGUGAAAUGCGUAGAUAUCAGGAGGAAUACCAGUGGCGAAGGCGGCCAUCUGGCUCGCAACUGACGCUCAGGCACGAAAGCGUGGGGAGCAAACAGG